RNAcentral lists this long non-coding RNA (584 nucleotides) under Nicotiana benthamiana. RNAcentral's name for it is "long non-coding RNA (NBEN_LNC005512)". Lineage: Eukaryota; Viridiplantae; Streptophyta; Magnoliopsida; Solanales; Solanaceae. The record is from RNAcentral.
CCGCAACUACUUCAGCAAAACAAGUACUCCAUCCAAUUAAAUAUGUUAGCAAGACCUCCAAUGAGCAUCGUUAUCACCAAACAUAACCUGUUCAACAAACAUCUUCUCUGCUAAGGUGUAUUAUAAGGUACUAACCGUGUAAUUCUGAUAUAUACACCAACAUAAUUACUUUACUAACUGUGUAAUUCGUUUCCAUCACUUUCAAAUAGACUUCAAAAUGACAUUGCUAAAAGUGUAAGUUUACAGAGAGGAACAUGCUUAUAAAGAGAGUUAUAUGAAAUACAGGAAAGUGCAAACACCUUUUUGUUUACACAAUAUAUGAAUGGGCCUUCAGCAGGUCGCGAAAUCACAUUCAUCCGCACAGCGCAAGAGACCCAAUACCCAGUAAUGUGCUUCUUCUUUUAAUCGCUUGUAAGCAUACCACAUACCACAGGCUAAUGACAACAAACAAAGCAAAUGCAAUAGCUAAUAGCCAGGACAGAGUCCCGUAAUACUUAUCAACUUUUAAGACUGUAGACUUUGAGCAACUUUAGUUAGAGAAGUACUGCACAAUAUAUGAAUGCGCCUUCAGUAGGUUGCGAAAU